This 779-nucleotide ribosomal RNA is filed under the name uncultured marine eukaryote. RNAcentral describes it as "SSU rRNA". It matches the Rfam family "Eukaryotic small subunit ribosomal RNA", at positions 161 to 944 of the family's 1831-position model. The record is from RNAcentral.
GAGCUAAUACAUGCUAACACGCUCAACUUCUGGAAGGGAUGUAUUUAUUAGAUUAAAAGCCAAUGCGGGUCAAACCGUCCAUUUGGUGAUACAUGAUAACUUAUCGAAUCGCAUGGCCCAGCGCCGGCGAUAUUUCAUUCAAAUUUCUGCCCUAUCAACUUUCGAUGGUAAGGUAGUGGCUUACCAUGGUCGUAACGGGUGACGGAGAAUUAGGGUUCGAUUCCGGAGAGGGAGCCUGAGAAACGGCUGCCACAUCUAAGGAAGGCAGCAGGCACGAAAAUUGCCCAAUCCCAAUUCGGGGAGGUAGUGACAAGAAAUAACAAUACGGGGUCUUUAUAGGUCUCGCAAUUGGAAUGAGUACAAUUUAAAUCCUUUAACGAGUACCAAUUGGAGGGCAAGUCUGGUGCCAGCAGCCGCGGUAAUUCCAGCUCCAAUAGCGUAUAUUAAAGUUGUUGCAGUUAAAAAGCUCGUAGUUGGAUUUCGGGAUGGGCCAGUCGGUCCGCCUAACGGUGUGUUUACUGGCUGGUCUGUUCUUCUUCGCAAAGACUGCGUGUGCACUUUACUGUGUGUGCGUAGGAUUUACGACGUUUACUUUGAAAAAAUUAGAGUGUUCAAAGCAGGCAUACCGCUUGAAUACAUGAGCAUGGAAUAAUGGAAUAGGACUUUGGUCUUAUUUUGUUGGUUUCCGAGACCGAAGUAAUGAUUAAGAGGGACAGUUGGGGGCAUUCGUAUUUCGUUGUCAGAGGUGAAAUUCUUGGAUUUACGAAAGACAAACUACA